AGGACAAACGCUGGCGGCGUACCUAAGACAUGCAAGUCGAACGGGCGCAACACCCUUCGGGGUGAAGUGUUAGUGGCGGACGGGUGAGUAACGCGUAGGAACCUAUCGCACAGUGGGGGAUACCACUGGGAAACCGGUGCUAAUACCGCAUGUGGUCAGCGAUGAAGAAAGCGGCCCACGCGAGUGGGUGGCGCUGUGUGAGGGGCCUGCGUCCGAUUAGCUGGUUGGUGGGGUAAAGGCCUACCAAGGCGACGAUCGGUAGCUGGU
This 267-nucleotide ribosomal RNA is filed under the name uncultured bacterium. Its description in RNAcentral is "partial small subunit ribosomal RNA". It matches the Rfam family "Bacterial small subunit ribosomal RNA", at positions 26 to 291 of the family's 1533-position model. The record is from RNAcentral.